UCGUAUCCAUAUACAAUCAAAUAUUUUUGUUAUUUUUUGUGCUUUUGCUUACCUCUCCCAUAAUAUGGUCGCGGCAUAUAUAACAUUCGAUACUAUAUUUGAUUAACACGGAUGUACAGUGUCGCUCCGGUCCAAAAUUAUAUACACAAGAAAAAAUGAAAAUAAAAAUAAAAAUGGGAAACCCUAAUGUUUUUUUACUAAAAGCACACCUCAAUCAUCAAUAUUAUAUAGAGAGAAUUAUGCAUCAUCCCUUU
RNAcentral lists this long non-coding RNA (254 nucleotides) under Capsella rubella. RNAcentral describes it as "long non-coding RNA (CRUB_LNC002905)". The record is from RNAcentral. Lineage: Eukaryota; Viridiplantae; Streptophyta; Magnoliopsida; Brassicales; Brassicaceae.